Molecule: transfer-messenger RNA, 367 nt
Filed under: Erysipelotrichaceae
Lineage: Bacteria; Bacillati; Bacillota; Erysipelotrichia; Erysipelotrichales
Also listed under: 1 other name
Description: Bulleidia sp900315065 Standard tmRNA
Rfam family: transfer-messenger RNA
About the family: Bacterial tmRNA, also known as 10Sa RNA or SsrA, is named for its dual tRNA and mRNA-like properties. Its role is to liberate the mRNA from a stalled ribosome.
Source: RNAcentral
GGGGCUGUCAUGGUUUCGACAGGUUAUUGUUUGAUUCAGGCUGCAGUGGAGUGAUGACCAUAUCAUCAACAAAUUUAAACGCAAACAACUAUAACAGAAGCGCAAGCUUCGCUUUCGCUGCUUAAUUGACGCUUGACGCGUCGCAGCGACCCGAUGAACAGUUGAGUUACCUGCUGUUCAUUGUGUAAUCAGGUAAAUACGGAAAAGCCCAUGUCUGUAAGCUGAUCCCGACAAUUUUACAGGCAGAUUCAGAGGACGGGUGGUUCGUUGUCAUGUCCUUUGUCUUAUUCAAUCAAUGAACUAAACUGUAGACGCCUGAAUGUGGGACGUUUCUUGGACACGGGUUCGACUCCCGUCAGCUCCACCA